This 203-nucleotide long non-coding RNA is filed under the name Nicotiana benthamiana. RNAcentral's name for it is "long non-coding RNA (NBEN_LNC000109)". The record is from RNAcentral. Lineage: Eukaryota; Viridiplantae; Streptophyta; Magnoliopsida; Solanales; Solanaceae.
CAUUUCCCACAAAAUCAACUCUAUAGCCUUUUUGUAAUAAUUGUCCCACACUUAAUAAAUUUCCUUCGACUUUGUGUGAUUUUUCGUUUCCAAGCUUAACUUGAGAAUUAACAUCUUCAUCCAAUUUGACGAAGCUUUCAUUAUUUCCUGUCAUGUGAUUACUGCAACCACUAUCCAAGUACCAAAUAUCCUUCACAUUUAAU